GACGAACGCUGGCGGCGUGCUUAACACAUGCAAGUCGAACGGUGAAGCGCUUGCCUUUUUGGUGGGUGUGGAUGAGUGGCGAACGGGUGAGUAACACGUGAGUAACCUGCCCUCUUCUUCUGGAUAACCUCAUGAAAGUGGGGCUAAUACGGGGUAUUCCGGGUCUGUCGCAUGGCGGGUUUGGGAAAGAUUGCGCCUUUGGGUGUUUUCGGUGGGGGAUGGGCUCGCGGCCUAUCAGCUUGUUGGUGGGGUGAUGGCCUACCAAGGCGGUGACGGGUAGCCGGGCUGAGAGAGUGGACGGCCAGACUGGGACUGAGACACGGCCCAGACUCGUGCGGGAGGCAGCAGUGGGGAAUAUUGCACAAUGGGCGCAAGCCUGAUGCAGCGACGCCGCGUGAGGGAUGGAGGCCUUCGGGUUGUGAACCUCUUUCGCCAGUGAAGCAGGCCUGCUCCUGUGUGGGUGGGUUGACGGUAGCUGGAGAAGAAGCGCCGGCUAACUACGUG
RNAcentral lists this ribosomal RNA (504 nucleotides) under uncultured bacterium. RNAcentral describes it as "partial 16S ribosomal RNA". It matches the Rfam family "Bacterial small subunit ribosomal RNA", at positions 28 to 507 of the family's 1533-position model. The record is from RNAcentral.